UGAACGCUGGCGGCGUGCCUAACACAUGCAAGUCGUACGAGAAACUUUCGCUUCGGCGAAAAGAGUAAAGUGGCGCACGGGUGAGUAACGCGUGAGUAACCUGCCUUCGAAUCUGGGAUAACUUCGCGAAAGCGUUGCUAAUACCGGAUACGGUCCUGGGAACCUUGGUUCUUUGGAUUAAAGGUGACCUAUCCAUGGAAGUUGCCGUUUGGGGAGGGGCUCGCGUCCCAUUAGCUUGUUGGUGGGGUAAUGGCCUACCAAGGCCACGAUGGGUAGCUGGUCUGAGAGGAUGAUCAGCCACACUGGAACUGAAACACGGUCCAGACUCCUACGGGAGGCAGCAGUGAGGAAUUUUGCGCAAUGGGGGAAACCCUGACGCAGCAACGCCGCGUGAGUGAAGAAGGUCUUCGGGUCGUAAAGCUCUGUCAAGUGGGAAAAAAGUCAUACGGUUAAUAGCCGUGUGGUUUGAUGGUACCAUUAGAGGAAGCACCGGCUAACUCC
This 501-nucleotide ribosomal RNA is filed under the name uncultured bacterium. Its description in RNAcentral is "bacterial SSU rRNA". It matches the Rfam family "Bacterial small subunit ribosomal RNA", at positions 30 to 504 of the family's 1533-position model. The record is from RNAcentral.